UUGCCUUCUCUCUCACCCUACUCUAACAAAGUUUUGAUAUCUGGAGCUCAUAGGUGGGAGACAGCUAAUACAUACUUACAAGACAUUUAUUGCAUAGUCAAACCAUGGAUCCAGAGAAACAAGUCAAUAAGUCAAAUCAAGAUGUGCAUGUGUGGCGAAUGAAUGGUGUAUGGUGAUGAUGGUGAUAAUGGUGAAAAUAAUGGUGAAAGUCUAAUUCUACUUUUGCUCUUUUGAGGGGAUACAUACCUUUCUUGCACUUUGAAGCUUUUUGAGGGGAAUGAGAUGCUCUAUAUUUUCUUUUUCUUUUCUCUCAGGUGGGUAUCUUGUACCCCUAAUUCUACUAUCGGACACUUGUCCAUUUUUACCUCUCGUCUCACUUUUUAUUUUCUUUCGAGGUUCCAGACACUUGCCACUUUUUAUUUCCUCGUAUUCACUUUUUUCAAAGCACUCACCCUCCUGGAAUAAUGUAGCAAGUGGUAGUAACCAAAAUAUCUUGAGCAUUUAUUUCAUAGGGAAUAACAGGGAUAGGAUAAUGUUUUUGGCUAUUCUCUCCUGGAUAGGAGUAGAAUAAUUUUAGGUGAAUCUAGAGAUGGAAA
This 596-nucleotide long non-coding RNA is filed under the name Sorghum bicolor (sorghum). Its description in RNAcentral is "long non-coding RNA (SBIC_LNC008786)". The record is from RNAcentral. Lineage: Eukaryota; Viridiplantae; Streptophyta; Magnoliopsida; Poales; Poaceae.